GGGAGUGGAAGGGUCCCGGUGGGCCUCGCGGUCUUCAAAACCGUUGCGGGGCGGUGUACCCGUCCCGGGUGGGUUCGACUCCCAUGCACUCCCGCCA
Molecule: transfer RNA, 97 nt
Filed under: Pseudomonadota bacterium
Lineage: Bacteria; Pseudomonadati; Pseudomonadota
Also listed under: 2 other names
Description: tRNA-Sec
Rfam family: Selenocysteine transfer RNA
Source: RNAcentral